GACGAACGCUGGCGGCGUGCCUAAUACAUGCAAGUCGAGCGGACGAAUCGAAAGCUUGCUUUUGAUUCGUUAGCGGCGGACGGGUGAGUAACACGUGGGCAACCUGCCCUGUAGACGGGGAUAACACCGAGAAAUCGGUGCUAAUACCGGAUAACACGAAAUGUCGCAUGACGUUUCGUUGAAAGACGGCGCAAGCUGUCGCUACAGGAUGGGCCCGCGGCGCAUUAGCUAGUUGGUGAGGUAACGGCUCACCAAGGCGACGAUGCGUAGCCGACCUGAGAGGGUGAACGGCCACACUGGGACUGAGACACGGCCCAGACUCCUACGGGAGGCAGCAGUAGGGAAUCUUCCGCAAUGGACGAAAGUCUGACGGAGCAACGCCGCGUGAGCGAAGAAGGCCUUCGGGUCGUAAAGCUCUGUUGUUAGGGAAGAACAAGUAACGCAGUAACUGGCGUUACCGUGACGGUACCUAACGAGAAAGCCACGGCUAACUACGUG
RNAcentral lists this ribosomal RNA (498 nucleotides) under uncultured bacterium. RNAcentral describes it as "partial 16S ribosomal RNA". It matches the Rfam family "Bacterial small subunit ribosomal RNA", at positions 28 to 507 of the family's 1533-position model. The record is from RNAcentral.